CAGCCGCCGCGGUAAUACGUAGGGUGCAAGCGUUAAUCGGAAUUACUGGGCGUAAAGCGUGCGCAGGCGGUUUGUUAAGACAGAUGUGAAAUCCCCGGGCUCAACCUGGGAACUGCAUUUGUGACUGGCAAGCUAGAGUCUGGCAGAGGGGGGUGGAAUUCCGCGUGUAGCAGUGAAAUGCGUAGAUAUGCGGAGGAACACCGAUGGCGAAGGCAGCCCCCUGGGCCAACACUGACGCUCAUGCACGAAAGCGUGGGGAGCAAACAGGAUUAGAUACCCCUGUAGUCCCUGUCUCUUAUAC
RNAcentral lists this ribosomal RNA (301 nucleotides) under uncultured bacterium. RNAcentral's name for it is "partial 16S ribosomal RNA". It matches the Rfam family "Bacterial small subunit ribosomal RNA", at positions 509 to 807 of the family's 1533-position model. The record is from RNAcentral.